RNAcentral lists this ribosomal RNA (253 nucleotides) under uncultured bacterium. Its description in RNAcentral is "partial 16S ribosomal RNA". It matches the Rfam family "Bacterial small subunit ribosomal RNA", at positions 524 to 776 of the family's 1533-position model. The record is from RNAcentral.
UACGGAGGUUCCAAGCGUUGUUCGGAAUUACUGGGCGUAAAGGGGGCGCAGGCGGCCUGGUCAGUGGAAAGUGGAAGCCCGGGGCUCAACCUCGGAAGGCCUUUCCAUACUGCCUGGCUUGAGUUCGUGAGAGGGAAGCGGAAUUCAGGGUGUAGCGGUGAAAUGCUUAGAUAUCCUGAGGAACACCGAUGGCGAAAGCAGCUUCCUGGCACGUUACUGACGCUCAUGCCCGAAAGCGUGGGGAGCGAACAGG